RNAcentral lists this ribosomal RNA (830 nucleotides) under uncultured bacterium. RNAcentral describes it as "bacterial SSU rRNA". It matches the Rfam family "Bacterial small subunit ribosomal RNA", at positions 38 to 902 of the family's 1533-position model. The record is from RNAcentral.
GGUCCCUCCCAUUUUCCGGUAUUCAAGUUAAUCGGGAAAAUGGGUGGGAUACACGAGCGGCGGACGGGUGAGUAACACGUAGGAACGUACCCCAAACUGAGGGAUAAGCACCAGAAAUGGUGUCUAAUACCGCAUGUGGCCUUCGGGCUAAAGCUCCGGCGGUUUGGGAACGGCCUGCGCAUGAUUAGCUUGUUGGUGAGGUAAUAGCUCACCAAGGCGAUGAUCAUUAGCUGGUCUGAGAGGAUGACCAGCCACACUGGGACUGAGAUACGGCCCAGACUCCUACGGGAGGCAGCAGUCGGGAAUUUUCCACAAUGGGCGAAAGCCUGAUGGAGCAACGCCGCGUGCAGGAUGAAUGCCUUCGGGUUGUAAACUGCUUUUAUAUGUGACGAAUAUGACGGUAGCAUAUGAAUAAGGAUCGGCUAACUCCGUGCCAGCAGCCGCGGUCAUACGGAGGAUCCAAGCGUUAUCCGGAAUUACUGGGCGUAAAGAGUUGCGUAGGUGGCAUUGUAAGUUGGUAGUGAAAGCGUGCGGCUCAACCGCAUACACAUUACCAAAACUGCAAAGCUAGAGGACGAGAGAGGUUAUUAGAAUUCCUAGUGUAGCGGUGGAAUGCGUAGAUAUUAGGAGGAAUACCGAUGGCGUAGGCAGAUAACUGGCUCGUUCCUGACACUAAGGCACGAAAGCGUGGGGAGCAAACGGGAUUAGAUACCCCGGUAGUCCACGCCGUAAACUAUAGAUGCUAGCUGUUAUCGGUAUCGACCCCGGUAGUAGCGAAGCUAACGCGUUAAGCAUCCCGCCUGUGGAGUACGGUCGCAAGACUAAAACAU